GCUUACGCCCAUACCACCCUGAACACAUCCGAUCUCGGAAGCCAAGCAGGGUCGGGCCUGGUUAGUACUUGGAUGGGAGACCGCCUGGGAAUACCAGGGGCUGUAAGUC
This 109-nucleotide ribosomal RNA is filed under the name Dicentrarchus labrax (European seabass). The record is from RNAcentral. Lineage: Eukaryota; Metazoa; Chordata; Actinopteri; Moronidae.